RNAcentral lists this long non-coding RNA (279 nucleotides) under Amborella trichopoda. RNAcentral describes it as "long non-coding RNA (ATRI_LNC002054)". The record is from RNAcentral. Lineage: Eukaryota; Viridiplantae; Streptophyta; Magnoliopsida; Amborellales; Amborellaceae.
UUUAUUUGAAUUCGGCUACCAAUUCCUUACAAAGAAAAAUUAAAGUGAUAAGGACCUUGCACCCUUAAGUUGGGCACUAGUUAAGAGAGACAGAGAAAAAAAAUUGUUUUAGCAAGGGUAAAAGCAUUGACAGGCAUGAGGAAUGCACAUAGCACUUGCACUUUGCCCAAAAAUCCUCACACAAGUAUCUAUGCAGUCAGGUUGUCCACAAGGGCGAGAGGCGUUGGGGUCGGGUAGGUUAAUGCUGCAUUCUGCUGCAUCUGCAAUCAUAGUUACUUG